This 361-nucleotide ribosomal RNA is filed under the name uncultured bacterium. RNAcentral describes it as "partial 16S ribosomal RNA". It matches the Rfam family "Bacterial small subunit ribosomal RNA", at positions 338 to 696 of the family's 1533-position model. The record is from RNAcentral.
CCUACGGGUGGCAGCAGUGAGGAAUAUUGGUCAAUGGGCUUACGCCUGAACCAGCCAAGUCGCGUGAGGGAAGACUGCCCUAUGGGUUGUAAACCUCUUUUGUCAGGGAGCAACGCCGGCUACGUGUAGCCGGACUGAGAGUACCUGAAGAAAAAGCAUCGGCUAACUCCGUACCAGCAGCCGCGGUAAUACGGAGGAUGCGAGCGUUAUCCGGAUUUAUUGGGUUAAAGGGGUGCGUAGGCGGAAUGCCAAGUCAGCGGUAAAAUCGCGGGGGUCAACCUCGCUCCGCCGUUGAAACGGGCGUUCUUGAGUGGGCGAGAGGUAUGCGGAAUGCGAGGUGUAGCGGUGAAAUGCAUAGAUA